RNAcentral lists this long non-coding RNA (346 nucleotides) under Canis lupus familiaris (dog). Its description in RNAcentral is "lncRNA (ENSCAFG00040001220.1)". The record is from RNAcentral. Lineage: Eukaryota; Metazoa; Chordata; Mammalia; Carnivora; Canidae.
UAUUUACAGAUUAGAAGGCAGAAAUUCUAAGACUGUUAACAGUUGUCAUUGCCUACCAAACUCAUGGAUUUCCAUCAGCAGUUUCUAAAAUUUAUGCUAAUAAGAUUAAUAUCCUGGAUUUAAUGAAACAGUGUCUAUAGAGAGAUCUGAGAUCUGGCAUAAGAUCUGAGAAAUAGGUCCCUGUACUUUUGGAAAUUCUAAGGAUCUCCUUUCAACACCAGUAUUUUCUGUGGUUACAGAAGCAUCUUCAGUCAGUUGUCACAAGAGUCUGACAUCUGUUUUUCUUGAAAAAUACUUUACUACUCCUGAAGGUGAUUUUAUUGUGGUGUCAAACAAAUAUCUCUGA